This 2226-nucleotide long non-coding RNA is filed under the name Sus scrofa (pig). Its description in RNAcentral is "lncRNA (ENSSSCG00015019764.1)". Lineage: Eukaryota; Metazoa; Chordata; Mammalia; Artiodactyla; Suidae. The record is from RNAcentral.
GCUGUCUUCACGGCGUCCGGCCUGCGGUGUGAGAGCUCUGCCCUCAAUCCUGAACCCUCGCCUGGCACAUCUGCAAGGACCACAGUGUCUCGUGAAGAUUGAGAAGCAGCAGUGACGGUUCAGGUGCUCAGAACUGGGGAAGCCACUGACGCUCAUGUAACUGAUGCAGACUUGACUCAAAGAGGUUUGUGGGUGGAACCUGGAAGUGGGGGGAUGCCGUGUCCUAAACCCAGUCUGUAGAUUGUGCCUCAGCUCAGGCACUUCUCUCUGCCAGACAGUUGACUGCCUCUUGGUGGUACCGUGUCCGCUGUGACCGACGCAGCCUCCAUCCUCUGACUCAUUUGUCUCAGGAAUGGGAGCCAGUUGAAGAACUGGGGUCUCUGGGGGGACGGUCAUGGGGCCACCAGUGUCCAGAGAGGGGGAACCCAGCAGAUCCCGGGUCAGGCUGGGGACCGAGGGAGACUCAGGCAUGGACCUUUAUCUGUGCCUUGAUCUGUCCAAUAAAUAUGGUGCUUGGCACCUGACCCACUGGUGACUGAGCAGAGGUCCCUGAUGCCACUUGCACACAACUGAUGAGGUGACAGAUGGUAGGGAAGGUGCUGAGGGGCUGCUUCGACAGGGUGUCUGAGGGGUAGCAGGGGAGGGGGGAGCUGGCAAUGCGGGACCACGUGCACGCGGAGGGGCAGACAGGGCACGGGCACUCGGGGUGCGUGUAGAGAAACCUGGGCCGAGGUGGCCAUGGGGAGAGGUGUAUUUUCUUCUAACUGGAGUGGGCAGCCUCCGAGGCAGUGACCUGGGAGAGGAUUAGACUCUGUCUACACUUUAGAAGGUUGUUCUGGCCGCAGCUGAGGUGGAUGGUGGAAGGUGAGCCAAGGCUGCUGCAGGAGCAGGCUGGCGACGGCGGCGGUGCUUUGGCACCGGGGCACCCGCGGUGGAAAUGGCGAGGACCUGGAAGAUCCAGGGUUUGUGUGGCGGAGAAGCCGAGGGGAUGUGCUGUUGGGUGGGUGUGCUUGCCUGGAUGCUGUGGAGAUGGUGUGUUUGGAGGGUGUGACUACUGGAAGGGCUGCGGCGCCCCCAAGAGGCUGGACAGGAGAGGACCUACAGCAGAAGAGAGAGGGCUGAAAAGGCCAAAGUUGGAGAACGGAAGUUUUCCCCUAAUUUUAAAGGUUUUAAACUUCUGCACAGAUAUAAAGCAUCUGUCUUACGAAUUUGUGGAAUAGACAAUUCAUAAUUAAAGAAUUAGCUUUUGUCUUUCUGCACCAUAUUAAACACUGUCUCUGAGCGGAAAUUACCACAACACUGGAAAUCAACUAAACUUCCAUAAAACUUUACAAAAGGAAGAAAACACAUUCUCUGAUAUGGUUCACGAAUCCGCAGUGGUUCACGAAUCCGACUAGGAACCUUGAGGUUGCGGGUUCGGACCCUGCCCUUGCUCAGUGGGUUAAGGAUCCGGCGUUGCCGUGAGCUGUGGUGUAGGUUGCAGACGCGGCUCGGAUCCCGCGUUGCUGUGGCUCUGGCGUAGGCCGGUGGCUACAGCUCCGAUUUGACCUCUAGCCUGGGAACCUCCAUAUGCCGCGGGAGCGGCUCAAGAAAAGGCAAAAAGACCAAAAAAAAUUUUUUUUAAUGGGCAAUUUAAAGAAUUUAAUGAUGAUUCAGAUACUGCUCUAGAGAUGUGCCACAAAGUAAACCCUCUCGUUAUAUUUCUAGGGGAUUAAGGAAAAGAGUGGGCUCAGGCAGUAGCAGUACAGCCCUCCAGGGUUUGAAAGUUCACCCUGAGGCCUCUUGUGCAGACUUCUGAAAUGCCCUGUUUUCGCCAGCUCCCAGGGAGCUGCCACCAGAGGGGGCACAUCCGGAGGAAGCACUGAAGGAAAUCUGAACAAACUCCCCUCCUGAAGCCUCCGCUUACUCUCUGCUCCUUCCCAGGUGGCCGAUGUGACAGCGAUGGCAGAUGUGGCAGCAAUGGCAGAUGCUGACGCUGGAGCUUGAGAAUCUUGUCCUUAUAACGUUUCUCUUAUGAAAGGAAUGCGAAUAUUUCUCUUGUAAAAGCGUGUCUGUUAAAAACAUUUCAAGAUUUUUAAAGCUUUUUAGAGACAUAAGUCCCUAAUGUCCGUAGAGGUUUAAAAAUGGAACCAAAACACGACAUGAAACAAUGGUAUGAAAUAACCCGUCUGAUGCGCCAUGUCCUCUACCGGCCUUAAUGGGAAAUAAAAACACCAGCUUUAACUG